Molecule: long non-coding RNA, 500 nt
Filed under: Equus asinus (donkey)
Lineage: Eukaryota; Metazoa; Chordata; Mammalia; Perissodactyla; Equidae
Description: lncRNA (ENSEASG00005025933.1)
Source: RNAcentral
CUAGAUGCCACCAGAAAACAAAACAAAACAUAAGACCAAAGAACUAAGCUGUUGGUUACCUAUUAAUAAUUGAAUCAGGCUAAACAGUAACUUCUUAGAAGCUGAUCAGUUUACCACACACACAAUUGGAAGCAGCCUGGAGGGUGGAAUUAGAGAGCUGGCACCCACAACAACAGGGAAAAAGAACACUUCACUGACAGCUGUUGUCCAGAUGCCUGGGAGAGGGCCAAGAUUGCAGAGAGGAAUGUCACCAGGUCAGGAUCUGGAAACAAUCAGCUCUUAUGGUUUUAAGGAUGAAGCGCCAAGAUCUUAAGGAACCUGAAUUCCUGGUGAGCAGUCAAGUUCUUUAAUCCGCCCCCAGCAGGAUUCCGGCGGCUUAAAAAAGAAAAGAAAAAGAAAAUCUAUUUUAAAAACAAGUCAAACCAAAGCGAACCUACCCUAACCCUCCUCAUUUCUAAAGAAAAAGCCGCUUCCAACGCAGGUUUUUUUUCCUAAGGAAA